Molecule: RNase P RNA, 370 nt
Filed under: Muribaculaceae bacterium
Lineage: Bacteria; Pseudomonadati; Bacteroidota; Bacteroidia; Bacteroidales; Muribaculaceae
Description: RNase P RNA component class A
Rfam family: Bacterial RNase P class A
About the family: Ribonuclease P (RNase P) is a ubiquitous endoribonuclease, found in archaea, bacteria and eukarya as well as chloroplasts and mitochondria. Its best characterised activity is the generation of mature 5'-ends of tRNAs by cleaving the 5'-leader elements of precursor-tRNAs. Cellular RNase Ps are ribonucleoproteins.
Source: RNAcentral
ACAGAAUUGAGGUCUGUCGCUGCGCGCAGCAUAUAUUUCUGCGCGGAGAGGAAAGUCCGGGCAACGAAGAGCACCGCAUUUCUUAACUGGAAGCCGGCGGCGACGUCGGGGAUAAUGUGACAGAAAACAACCGCCUGCGUCUUUUGCAGGUAAGGGUGAAAAGGCGGGGUAAGAGCCCACCGGCUCCGGUGGCGACAUCGGAGGCCGCACAUCCUGCGGGUUGCAAGGCCAAAUAUACCGGCAAUUAAGGAUUGCUCGUCCAUUGCCGAGGGGUAGGCUGCUUGAGCCGACGGGCGACCGGCGGCGUAGAUAAAUGACAGACACCGGAUUCUAUCCGGCACAUAACCCGGCUUAUAUCUUUUCUGUCUUU